GGUUAAGUGACUAAGCGUACACGGUGGAUGCCUUGGCAGUCAGAGGCGAUGAAAGACGUAGUAACUUGCGAUAAGCCCAGAUUAGGUAGUAACAACCAUUUGAGUCUGGGAUUUCUGAAUGGGGAAACCCACGUGCAUAAGCACGUAUCCUUACCUGAAUACAUAGGGUAAGGAGGCGAACCGGGGAACUGAAACAUCUAAGUACCCCGAGGAAAAGAAAUCAACCGAGAUUCCGAAAGUAGCGGCGAGCGAAAUUGGACUAGCCCUUAAGCUUUACACGCGUUAGACGAACGGUCUGGAAAGUCCGACGAUACAGGGUGAUAGUCCCGUAGUUGACGACGUGUGUUCAGUGAAAUCGAGUAGGGCGGGACACGUGAUAUCCUGUCUGAAUAUGGGGGACCAUCCUCCAAGGCUAAAUACUACUGACUGACCGAUAGUGAACCAGUACCGUGAGGGAAAGGCGAAAAGAACCCCUGUGAGGGGAGUGAAAUAGAACCUGAAACCGUGUACGUACAAGCAGUAGGAGCAGGCUUUGUCCUGUGACUGCGUACCUUUUGUAUAAUGGGUCAGCGACUUAUAUUCAGUGGCAAGGUUAACCAUCUAGGGGAGCCGUAGGGAAACCGAGUCUUAACUGGGCGUUCAGUCUCUGGAUAUAGACCCGAAACCAGGUGAUCUAGCCAUGGGCAGGUUGAAGGUUGAGUAACAUCAACUGGAGGACCGAACCGACUAAUGUUGAAAAAUUAGCGGAUGACUUGUGGCUAGGGGUGAAAGGCCAAUCAAACCUGGAGAUAGCUGGUUCUCCCCGAAAGCUAUUUAGGUAGCGCCUCGGACGAAUACUACUGGGGGUAGAGCACUGUUAAGGCUAGGGGUCAUCCCGACUUACCAACCCUUUGCAAACUCCGAAUACCAGUAAGUACUAUCCGGGAGACACACGGCGGGUGCUAACGUCCGUCGUGGAGAGGGAAACAACCCAGACCGCCAGCUAAGGUCCCAAAUUACUACUAAGUGGGAAACGAUGUGGGAAGGCUCAGACAGCCAGGAUGUUGGCUUAGAAGCAGCCAUCAUUUAAAGAAAGCGUAAUAGCUCACUGGUCGAGUCGGCCUGCGCGGAAGAUGUAACGGGGCUAAGUAGUAAACCGAAGCUGCGGCAAUGCACUUUAGUGCAUUGGGUAGGGAGCGUUCUGUAAGCGGUUGAAGGUGUGUGGUAACGCAUGCUGGACGUAUCAGAAGUGCGAAUGCUGACAUGAGUAACGAUAAAGGGGUGAAAAACCUCCUCGCCGGAAGACCAAGGGUUCCUGUCCAACGUUAAUCGGGGCAGGGUAAGUCGACCCCUAAGGCGAGGCCGAAAGGCGUAGUCGAUGGGAAACGGGUUAAUAUUCCCGUACUUCUUACAAUUGCGAUGGGGGACGGAGAAGGCUAGGUGGGCCUGGCGACGGUUGUCCAGGUUCAAGUGCGUAGGCUGAGAAAUUAGGUAAAUCCGGUUUCUCUUAAGGCUGAGACACGACGUCGAGCUACUACGGUAGUGAAGUCAUUGAUGCCAUGCUUCCAGGAAAAGCCUCUAAGCUUCAGAUUGUAAGGAAUCGUACCCCAAACCGACACAGGUGGUCGGGUAGAGAAUACCAAGGCGCUUGAGAGAACUCGGGUGAAGGAACUAGGCAAAAUGGUACCGUAACUUCGGGAGAAGGUACGCUCUUGAUGGUGAAGUCCCUCGCGGAUGGAGCUGACGAGAGUCGCAGAUACCAGGUGGCUGCAACUGUUUAUUAAAAACACAGCACUGUGCAAAAUCGUAAGAUGACGUAUACGGUGUGACGCCUGCCCGGUGCCGGAAGGUUAAUUGAUGGGGUUAGACUUCGGUCGAAGCUCUUGAUCGAAGCCCCGGUAAACGGCGGCCGUAACUAUAACGGUCCUAAGGUAGCGAAAUUCCUUGUCGGGUAAGUUCCGACCUGCACGAAUGGCGUAAUGAUGGCCACGCUGUCUCCACCCGAGACUCAGUGAAAUUGAAAUCGCUGUGAAGAUGCAGUGUACCCGCGGCUAGACGGAAAGACCCCGUGAACCUUUACUACAGCUUGGCACUGAACAUUGACCCUACAUGUGUAGGAUAGGUGGGAGGCUUUGAAGCAGGUACGCCAGUAUCUGUGGAGCCGUCCUUGAAAUACCACCCUUGUAGUGUUGAUGUUCUAACGUCGACCCCUAAUCGGGGUUGCGGACAGUGCCUGGUGGGUAGUUUGACUGGGGCGGUCUCCUCCCAAAGAGUAACGGAGGAGCACGAAGGUGGGCUAAUCACGGUUGGACAUCGUGAGGUUAGUGCAAUGGCAUAAGCCCGCUUGACUGCGAGAAUGACAAUUCGAGCAGGUGCGAAAGCAGGUCAUAGUGAUCCGGUGGUUCUGAAUGGAAGGGCCAUCGCUCAACGGAUAAAAGGUACUCCGGGGAUAACAGGCUGAUACCGCCCAAGAGUUCAUAUCGACGGCGGUGUUUGGCACCUCGAUGUCGGCUCAUCACAUCCUGGGGCUGAAGUCGGUCCCAAGGGUAUGGCUGUUCGCCAUUUAAAGUGGUACGCGAGCUGGGUUUAGAACGUCGUGAGACAGUUCGGUCCCUAUCUGCCGUGGGCGUUGGAAGAUUGAAGGGGCUGCUCCUAGUACGAGAGGACCGGAGUGGACGAACCUCUGGUGUUCGGGUUGUGUCGCCAGACGCAUUGCCCGGUAGCUAAGUUCGGAAUCGAUAACCGCUGAAAGCAUCUAAGCGGGAAGCGAGCCCUGAGAUGAGUCUUCCCUGAUACUUUAAGUAUCCUAAAGGGUUGUCGGAGACUACGACGUUGAUAGGUCAGGUGUGUAAGUGCUGUGAGGCAUUGAGCUAACUGAUACUAAUUGCCCGUGAGGCUUAACCAU
Molecule: ribosomal RNA, 2884 nt
Filed under: Vibrio parahaemolyticus
Lineage: Bacteria; Pseudomonadati; Pseudomonadota; Gammaproteobacteria; Vibrionales; Vibrionaceae
Description: 23S ribosomal RNA
Rfam family: Bacterial large subunit ribosomal RNA
Source: RNAcentral